GUGGGGAAUAUUGCACAAUGGGGGAAACCCUGAUGCAGCGACGCCGCGUGGAGGAAGAAGGUCUUCGGAUUGUAAACUCCUGUUGUUGAGGAAGAUAAUGACGGUACUCAACAAGGAAGUGACGGCUAACUACGUGCCAGCAGCCGCGGUAAAACGUAGGUCACAAGCGUUGUCCGGAAUUACUGGGUGUAAAGGGAGCGCAGGCGGGAAGACAAGUUGGAAGUGAAAUCCAUGGGCUCAACCCAUGAACUGCUUUCAAAACUGUUUUUCUUGAGUAGUGCAGAGGUAGAUGGAAUUCCCGGUGUAGCGGUGGAAUGCGUAGAUAUCGGGAGGAACACCAGUGGCGAAGGCGGUCUACUGGGCACCAACUGACGCUGAGGCUCGAAAGCAUGGGUAGCAAACAGGAUUAGAAACCCUGGUAGUCC
Molecule: ribosomal RNA, 425 nt
Filed under: uncultured bacterium
Lineage: Bacteria
Description: partial 16S ribosomal RNA
Rfam family: Bacterial small subunit ribosomal RNA
Source: RNAcentral